This 465-nucleotide ribosomal RNA is filed under the name uncultured bacterium. Its description in RNAcentral is "partial 16S ribosomal RNA". It matches the Rfam family "Bacterial small subunit ribosomal RNA", at positions 338 to 795 of the family's 1533-position model. The record is from RNAcentral.
CCUACGGGAGGCAGCAGUAGGGAAUCUUCCACAAUGGGCGAAAGCCUGAUGGAGCAACGCCGCGUGGGUGAAGAAGGUCUUCGGAUCGUAAAACCCUGUUGUUAGAGAAGAAAGUGCGUGAGAGUAACUGUUCACGUUUCGACGGUAUCUAACCAGAAAGCCACGGCUAACUACGUGCCAGCAGCCGCGGUAAUACGUAGGUGGCAAGCGUUAUCCGGAUUUAUUGGGCGUAAAGGGAACGCAGGCGGUCUUUUAAGUCUGAUGGGAAAGCCUUCGGCUUAACCGGAGUAGUGCAUUGGAAACUGGGAGACUUGAGUGCAGACGAGGAGAGUGGAACUCCAUGUGUAGCGGUGAAAUGCGUAGAUAUAUGGAAGAACACCAGUGGCGAAAGCGGCUCUCUGGUCUGUAACUGACGCUGAGGUUCGAAAGCGUGGGUAGCAAACAGGAUUAGAUACCCGAGUAGUC